This 276-nucleotide long non-coding RNA is filed under the name Ictidomys tridecemlineatus (thirteen-lined ground squirrel). Its description in RNAcentral is "lncRNA (ENSSTOG00000032364.1)". Lineage: Eukaryota; Metazoa; Chordata; Mammalia; Rodentia; Sciuridae. The record is from RNAcentral.
ACAUAUGCUAGGCAAGUGCUGUACCACUGAGCCAUGACCCCAGCUCCAAAGCUUCAAGAGAUCUUGGGGUGCAUCCCAUGACAUGGAAAACUUACUGCAAGUUCUGCUGUGCUCCGAGCACAACAACAGCCUGACUUCCUCAUUCUGCAGAAGAGAUGUCUACCCUGGCCAUGCCCAAUGUGGCUGGGCUCCUGACUUCAACCUCCUGCUCCAGCCUCCAUGAACUGGCAAAGGUCAGCAAUUAUUAUUAUUAUUAUUAUUAUUAUUGGUAUUGGG